GGAAAAACAGGGUGUGUGCUGGAGAGAAGGUUGGACCUAGAUGUUGCUGUGCUACCAUGAUGCUCCAUGAGUGAGGAUAUUCUGGUCCCUGUAGUCACUAAAGCGCCCCUGGGCAGCAUCAGGAUGGCGCAGCAAAGACUCUGGCACGCUCUGUUCUGGCCUUUCUCAGAAACAGUUGCUGGCAAUGAAAAAAUAAGAUGCUGCCCAGGCCACCUCUGCUGGGAAAGCUUUAUGUUGUGCAAGAAGGGCUCAGAUUUGGCAGAGAGAAUUGGUGAGUCUGCAGGGAGACAUCUGAAGGAUCGCAGUAUGUCCCAUGUACCUAUGAUACAGUAUUUAUGCCAUUACUCCAAUUCAGGUCUUUAGCUCUCCCUUCUUGUUUCCCAUGCUGGCUCAUGCUGACCUGUUCCCCUGUAGACAGUAUGGGCAUAACUGCUUUACCAUGGCCAAAUCAAGACAAG
Molecule: long non-coding RNA, 458 nt
Filed under: Numida meleagris (helmeted guineafowl)
Lineage: Eukaryota; Metazoa; Chordata; Aves; Galliformes; Numididae
Description: lncRNA (ENSNMEG00000018734.1)
Source: RNAcentral